This 11400-nucleotide long non-coding RNA is filed under the name Daucus carota (carrot). Its description in RNAcentral is "long non-coding RNA (DCAR_LNC005488)". Lineage: Eukaryota; Viridiplantae; Streptophyta; Magnoliopsida; Apiales; Apiaceae. The record is from RNAcentral.
UCACCAGUUUCUUUUCACGAAUACCGAGAGAAACCGAGCGGUGUUCUUCGUGUUCUUCAUAAUCAAACGAAGAUUUGAAGGUGUUAUUGGAAUCCGAUGGAGGUGUAUGAAUAGUCAAAACGAAGCUAUCGACGCGUAGAAUCUAGUUUAAUCAUCCGUUUGUGUGCAGAUUCAACAGGUGAUUUUAGAUUAAUUUUAUAAAAUUCGAAUUAUUUGCUUUUAAAUGUUGAAUUUUUGCAAACGAUUCCGUUUAUGUGAUUUGAUGAUGUCAUGUUGUAGAGCGUGUUUUUCUCGUCGUUUUGGUAUAUUAUAUGUUGAAUUUCGAGUUCGGUAACAUAUAGAAAAUGGGGUUUAAUUCUUGUAAGCAUGUUCUUGGUGUUCUUGAGUUUCUUCGCCGGAAACUUUGAGUUUUGCCGGAUUUUUCGUUCGGUUGAAUCUGGGUAUAAACUAAAUAUGCCACUAGGUAGAUCGUAGGGAUAUGAGUUGAAUGGUGUAGAGAAAACGAGCAACGGAGGCGGGUUAUGGCCGCCGGAAAAUGUCGCCACCGUCGCUUACGGGGCGUUUUCCGGCCAGAUGGCCGCGUUUCUGCAUAAGUUAAGCUGUGAAAUGAGUUUGUGGGAGUGUGGGUAAGUGAUCUGGAGAGUUUGGAGGCCGUUGGAGGCCGGAGGAGCAUUUUCCGGCGACCUGGGGGCGGUGGCGGUGUAAAACUGCUAAACGGCCCCCAGGGUUUGAAAGAUGAUGAAGAUGUUGUACUCGGGUUUUGAAACUUACAAAUUACCCCCUGUAACUUCUAAAAGUUACAGUUUGAACCUUGGCCGAAAACUUUCAAAAGUUUACAAAAUAAACCUUUUGAUUUAAUUUUCUAAAAUUGUUUUAUUUAAUUAUUUUAAAUUCCAAAAAUAGUUUUUAAUUAUUUCUUUAUUCAAAAAUAAAUCUAAAUUAGUUUAUUAAUUAAUUUUAAUUAGUAAUUAAUUAUUUUAAUUGGUCAAUUAAUUUAAAUAUUAAUUGAUUAAUUAUUUUAAUUAAUUAUUAAUUGAUUUUAAUUGAUUAAUUAAUUGGAUUUAAUUAUCCUUUUUGAUUUAAAAAUUCCGAAAAAUAGUUUCGAGCUUUGAAAUAUUUUUCUAAAUUAUUUUCAAGGCUCUAUUAUUGUUUAUGAAUGAUUUCAAGUCCAAUUUCAAGUAUUUGGGACUUGAUUAUUUAUCCGAAAAGUGAUUCUUUUAUCGAGUUUAAUUCCGAAAAAUGUUUAAAAAUUCCAGAAAAUUCCCGAAAAAUCAUUUUUAACCCAAGAGUUGAUUUGAUAUCAAUCGGGGUGGGAAACCUUAUGUGUAAUGUGUUGUCUGCUAUCUGUUUGAUGUGUUAUGUGCCGAUAGAGGAGUUAGAAAACGGUUUUAAACAUAUCUUUUGAUCCGUAAGUCGGAAUCGAGUGAAACGAAAGAGAGGCAGAAGCUUAUAAAGUCUAGUUGGAUAUAACAUAAUAAUAUGAUGGAGUCGAGAAUGUGAAUAAUUGUUGUUAAAUGUGCCGAAUGUGAUUAUAUGUUAUUGGAUUGUUAUUAAUUGAUGAUUACGUGAUAUAUAUGUCUAUUCCUGAUAUUAUAUACGUGAUAAAUGACUUAUAUGACNGAUUUGGAUGACAUAGUGUCGUGANNNNNNNNNNNNNNNNNNNNNNNNNNNNNNNNNNNNNNNNNNNNNNNNNNNNNNNNNNNNNNNNNNNNNNNNNNNNNNNNNNNNNNNGGCGAGAUGAUGUCGGAUUUCGAUAGGAUUCAUAUGAUAAGUGAUUGGUAAUAUGUUAUGUGGAAUACGACUUGACUAUAUGAUAGAGUCAAAGCAUGAUUACGUGUUAAGUGAUAUGUGAUAAGUUUAAAGGGGUAUAUAAGUAGGUAUCGAUAUACGUGAUAUGUAUAUGCGAUAUAUUGUUUAGUGACUAUGGUAUUAUCUUAUUUUACGUGUUAAGUGAUAUGUGAUAAGUUUAAAGGGGUAUAUAAGUGGGUAUCGAUAUGCGUGAUAUGUAUAUACGAUCGAUUGAUUAGUGAUUAUAUUAUUAUCUUAUUCUCGUUAAGGAUUGGACGAGACGUGGAUGACCGAAGACGUUCAGAAGGACAAGUGGUGUUCCAAAGCGAAUAAAGAAUGAGUCGAGUAAGCGAAGUGGUGUGGCAAAUAGGGUAUAGCCAGAGAUGGUCUAGAGACUAUGAUAUGCAUAGAGUAUGAAGGUGGAAAGAUGAGAAUGAGCUGUGAGACGGGAGUCAGAUUUAAGGCAAGUAUCCUGAACCCUUCUUUUGGAUAUCUUGCGAUUAUUCUGAUCCAUUCUUUUCGUAUGUGUUGCAAAUAUUCGUUCCUCUCUUUUCAUAUUUGACAGUGUAAAUAUUUUAUCCAUCCUUUUCUAAACCUCAAAAAUUCAGAUAAUUCCAGUUUUACAAAUUAAUUCGAAGUUCAGAUUGUCAUUGAAGCAUGUGUUGCUCAGUGAUAGUUAGAGCUUUGAAUGAAUUGGGAUCUUCUUGAUUAUUCAAACCGCCAUUGUCAUGCUGGUUAGCAGGCUGAAUUCAGUUGCUUAGCCGAUAAUGGAGGAUACUGAAUAGUUAAGGAUUUAGCAGGCUAAAUUCAGUUGCUUAGCCGAUAAUGGAGGAUACUGAAUAGUUAAGGAUUUCCUGAACUAUGAUUUAUGGAAGGAUGGACUCUGGUUUAUGAAAAGUUGAUUAUCAAAGUUUGAUUUGGAAUUAUUCUAUCAUUGAUAUUGAUUGUGUUUAUGUUUUGUUGUUAUACGUUGACCUGUUAUUGAAUUAUAGAAUUGGAUUAUUGUUUUUAUAUAAACCUGUGGACCAGAUUCGUGGUCAUGUUAGGCCAAUGAGUGCCUUGGAUCCAGUGAUAGAGCAUGGCGGGGCCUGCUCGGGGUUAGUGCGGAACUGAUCAGCUGCCUAACCUUGGUUUUAAUUAAAAUGUGAUAGUCCAAUUCAAUAAUUCUUUUGGAAAAAUUGAAUUCCUCAGUAUUCAAUUGCUGCAAGGUAUUGUGAUUUUCUUAUACAAUACCUAAACUCGUGAACUCAGGUUGAAUCCUUUUAUAUCUUGAACUCUUGAACUUCUGUUAUAUCAUUUCAGAAUUAUCACUGUUUAUUACUACUUGCGGAGCAUUGUUGCUCACCCUUGCUAUUCCUUUCUAACCAUUUCAGAAAGGCUUAAAGAUGAGAUGAUUGAUUGAGAUUGUGAGUAAGGCUAAUGCUAGGCGAGGAGACAGAGUUGAGGAUCCAGUGGUCGAGGAGUGUUCAGGAAAGUUGAUGAGGUUGGUGCAAGCUGGAAUAGUUGACAGUGAUUCUUCUUAUCGAAGAUGAUCUGAUUUGGUAAGAGAUGUUGUGUAAUAAUAGUGGUAGAUUCUAAUUUCAAUACUGUAACCUGGAUGCGAUCCUGUUGUUUUGGGGGGUUUAAAUGUUCUCUUUUAAAUCUUUUAUUUAACGUCUUUCAAAUCUUUUAUUAAAUGUUUUCAAGUUUUAAAUCUUUUGGAUUUUCAUUAUCUUUAAAAAAAAAAAAAAAAAUACAGGUUUUCAAGGGUGUUUUUAAAAGGUUUUGUGUGGUGACGUCAGAAUCCAGGCCCCCGGAUUCCUGGACUGUCACAGUUGGUAUCAGAGCAACAGGUUAUAAGUAUUUGAAAUUAGAAUAUAGAUCCUAGUUAUAGGUUUUCUAGAGAAGAAUGUGGUGUAACCUCACAUAGAGGUAUGGUCGGACUAUUUAGGAAUAGUCUAGAAAUGUGAGUGAAGCAUAGAGUUUAGUUAGAUGAUCAAGUUAAGUGGGGAUAUUUAAAGAGAUUAGGAUUCUUAAGUUUAGACGUAUGAUUUCUAGUAUGUUGAUUAAUUGAGAUAGUGAAUUGUGGAAAAGGUCAGUAUUAGACCUAUAUAGAAGAGUUUGAUAGUAAAUGAUUGAGUUGAGAAUGGUGAAAAUGCAGAGUUCAGAGUAUUCUGACUAUACUGCAUAGUUAAAAAUGGUCUAUGGUAUUGAUUUGAGAAUGAUAAAGAUGCAUGGUUCAUAGUAUGUUGACCAUGUCAGAUAUUUGGAAAAGGUAUAUUGUUUUAGUGAGAUGUGAAGAGUUACUGUAAGAUAUGAGUUGUACUGAAUUAGAAGGAGAGAUUUGUAGAUAGAGGUUGAUAGAUGAGAAGUGCAUGAUAGAGAGUAUGUGGAAUUGAGUCCAGUUAUUAGAGAUGAUGUCUACGAGUCAAUUAGAACGUUAGUCCUCGACGACAACGCUUCAAGUUAAUCGGGAUUUCAAAUGGCAUCAAGGUGGGCCCAUAACCCACAGGUUGAUGAUCCAGACAAUCGAAGAUACGUUACGUGUUUGUGCUAUGGAUUUCAAAGGCAACUGGGAUAAAGAAGAAGAAUGUAAACUACUUGGGCCAGAGUUAUUACGGACGAUAACGUCUACGAUGACAUCUUACGAGACUAUUACGAGUCAAAUCGAUUGAUUGUCGAGAACGUUGAAAGGAUAACAUAAAUUGAAUAACGAUUUCGUAAAGUAGAGUGGGAAUUUGAGAAGACCUUGGCAAUAUCUCUCUUCAACUAAAAAUUCUUUUGAUUGUUUUCUCAUCAGUGAGAUAUUAUCAUGAUAUCUUUUCUAUAAAAGUUUUGAUAAAUGAGAUCUUCAAUUUCUCAAAUUCUAAGAUGAUAAUGAUAUUGAUUAUUGGUGUGAGUUAGUAUUGAAUCGGUGUAUGAUAAAGGCGUGUUUAUGAAGAGACAGUGGAAUUCCUUGAUAUUCUUUCAUCAUCCUUGAUAUUCCUUGAUGUUCUUUGAUAUUCUCGAGAUUCUUUGACAUUCGUUGAUAUUCCUUGACCAAUGGUGAAAAUGCAGAGUUCAGAGUAUUCUGACUAUACUGCAUAGUUAAAAAUGGUCUAUGGUAUUGAUUUGAGAAUGAUAAAGAUGCAUGGUUCAUAGUAUGUUGACCAUGUCAGAUAUUUGGAAAAGGUAUAUUGUUUUAGUGAGAUGUGAAGAGUUACUGUAAGAUAUGAGUUGUACUGAAUUAGAAGGAGAGAUUUGUAGAUAGAGGUUGAUAGAUGAGAAGUGCAUGAUAGAGAGUAUGUGGAAUUGAGUCCAGUUAUUAGAGAUGAUGUCUACGAGUAAGUUAGAACGUUAGUCCUCGACGACAACGCUUCGAGCUAAUCGGGAUUUCAAAUGGCAUCAAGGUGGGCCCAUAACCCACAGGUUGAUGAUCCAGACAAUCGAAGAUACGUUACGUGUUUGUGCUAUGGAUUUCAAAGGCAACUGGGAUAAAGAAGAAGAAUGUAAACUACUUGGGCCAGAGUUAUUACGGACGAUAACGUCUACGAUGACAUCUUACGAGACUAUUACGAGUCAAAUCGAUUGAUUGUCGAGAACGUUGAAAGGAUAACAUAAAUUGAAUAACGAUUUCGUAAAGUAGAGUGGGAAUUUGAGAAGACCUUGGCAAUAUCUCUCUUCAACUAAAAAUUCUUUUGAUUGUUUUCUCAUCAGUGAGAUAUUAUCAUGAUAUCUUUUCUAUAAAAGUUUUGAUAAAUGAGAUCUUCAAUUUCUCAAAUUCUAAGAUGAUAAUGAUAUUGAUUAUUGGUGUGAGUUAGUAUUGAAUCGGUGUAUGAUAAAGGCGUGUUAUGAAGAGACAGUGGAAUUCCUUGAUAUUAUUGAUAUUCUGUGAUAUCCCUUGAUAUUCUUCCAUAUUCUUUGAUAUCCCUUAAUAUUCGUUGAUAUUCGUUGACAUUCUUUGACACUCUUUGAUAUUCCUUGAUAUCUUUUCGAUAUUCCUUAAUAUAUUCCUCGAUAAUCCUUAACAUUCCUUGAUGCUCCUUGAGAUUUCUUGGAUUCUUUCCAUCUGAUUGGGAUGAACAACCCUAUGUAUAGGGGACACAAGGUAUACCUGUCUGUGUGAUAGGAGUUGGAUGGGACGCCAUCACUUGUGUGUGUUGUGAUUACAAGAAGGUUAAAAACCUUUAGUAGUGUCUAAUAUGGACACGCAACAUGAAGUUCAUUUGAUCGUAUUGAUCUCCCAGUCACUCUUGUAUUCCAAUGUGACCUAUUUUGAAAAUAUCUUGUUCCUCCGAAAUUCCCAAAGAUUGAUUCUUGGGAAAUGAAGUUUGCAAUUGUGAAGGUUUUGAUUCUCCUAUUUCUUUAACUUUGAAGGGUAUGCCAAAGUUGAGCAAAGGCGGACGAGCAUGUGAUAUUAUGAAGCGUGUACAAUGAUCUUAUAAAUGAUACGUUUUAGUUCUCAUCGCGGAUUCUGAGGACAGAAUCCUUAUAAGGGGGUGGAAUGUAAUAUCCCAUAUUAUUAAAUUUAGAUUUGAUUAUUAUAAAUCUAUUUGUCUAGAUAUUAUUGUUGUCUGUAGUUGAAUAUUGAUGUGAUUAUGUGAAAUAGUUGUAUGUGAUUAUACUUGUUUCAUGGAUUAAUAUGGAUUUUACAGAUUUUUCGUCCUCCUUCUUUCUUUGAUUCCGAGGACGGAAUCCCUAUAAGGAGGGUAGAUUGUAAUGACCCGGAUUUUUAAAAAUUUUUAUUAGUAUUAAAAGUGAUUUUCUUUAAAGAAGGGUCGAUAAUCCCUAAUAUUCUUGAUGCUCCUUGAGAUUUCUUGGAUUCUUUCCAUCUGAUUGGGAUGAACAACCCUAUGUAUAGGGGACACAAGGUAUACCUGUCUGUGUGAUAGGAGUUGGAUGGGACGCCAUCACUUGUGUGUGUUGUGAUUACAAGAAGGUUAACAACCUUUAGUAGUGUCUAAUAUGGACACGCAACAUUAAGUUCAUUUGAUCGUAUUGAUCUCCCAGUCAUUCUUGUAUUCCAAUGUCACCUAUUUUGAAAACAUCUUGUUCUAUUCGAAAAUUCCCAAAGAUCGAUUCUUGGGAAAUGAAUUUUGCAAUCGCGAAAGUGUGAUUUUCCUUUUCCAUUAAAGUCAAAGGUAUGCCAAGAUCAAUCGAAGGUGGAUGACGAUAUGAUAUUACGAAGUGUGUACGUUUUAGUUUCUUCGGAGGAUUCCGAGGACGGAAUCCUUAUAAGGGGGGUAGAAUGUAAUAUCCCAUAUUAUUAAAUUUAGAUUUGAUUAUUAUAAAUCUAUUUGUCUAAAUAUUAUUGUUGGCUUUAGUUGAAAAGUGAAUUGAUUAUGUGAAUAGUUUUAUGUGAUUAUACUUGUUAUGUGGAUUAAUAUGGAUUUUACAGAUUAUGCGUCCUCCUUCUUUCUCUGAUUCCGAGGACGGAAUCCCUAUAAGGAGGGUAGAUUGUAAUAACCCGGAUUUUAAAAAUAUUUUUAUUAAUAUUAUAAAUGAUUUUCUUAAAAAGAAAGGAAUAAGAUUUAAUAUUUUAUUCCAGUUUAAUGAGUUUUCAAGGUUUUAUAUUUAAACCCCGGGUUAUUGUGUUAUUGAUAAAUAAUUGUAUUUUCAAAACUGAUUUUCAUAUAUUGUUUUGAAAAUUCUGUAUGAAUAUUAUGUGAAUAUAUGUGUUAUGUGAUUAAGUGGUAUUGGUGGAUUUGUUGGUUAAUUAAUUAUGGUUAAUUAUGAGUAUUAUAUGAUUAAUAUAUGAAUUUUUGUGAAUUUUAUAUUAUCUGGUUUAUUGCGUUAACUGCUCAUAUGUGUUCGUAUUUGAGAGAUUUCAAUUUCUAUAUGCUCAGGAGAAAAUAUAGUUUAUUUGGAUAUUUUCAUAUCGAUUUAUGGAAUGUUAGAUGAUUUUAUAAUCGAUUUACGGAUUUAAUUGUGUAUAUUUAUAUUUAUUUAUUAAUUAUUUGACUUCCGUAAAACCGUCCACUCGUAACGAGGUACCAAAUUUUCUUCCCGGAAGUUUCAACAAAACUCACCUUUAGCCUAAUUUGAAUAUUCCGGACAUUUUUCGUGUUUUGACUUUUUCGAUCCGGAGUACGGUUUUCCCCGGAGUCGGUCCGGCGGAGUUUUUCGGGUAUUGUAAUUGUUGAUAAUUAUCCAGUUUGUCUCGAUAAACGUGAAACGAGAUAUUUUCUUCAUCCUUAUCUUGUCAUAAUUGCCAUGGGACCCGCAGACCAAUAAUUGAGUUAAAAAGCCCCGUUUUGAUGAUUAUCUCGAAAACCAGUAUCGAUUGGACCCCGCUUUAUUAAUAUAAAGCUACUAAAUAUGUAUUUUCAUGUCAUAAACGAUCCAAAGGGGUACCAAUUAUUUGUAAAUAUAAAUAUAUCUUUCUAGAGCUUAUUUUCACCGUAGAAAUCAUUUCACCAGUUUCUCUGCACGAAUACCGAGAGAAACCGAGCGGUGUUCUUCGUGUUCUUCAUAAUCAAACGUGGAUUUGAAGGCGUUAUUGGAGUCAGAAUCAAGCGUGCGAAUAGUCAAAUCGAAGAUAUCGAAGAGUAGAACCCAGAUCAAUCAUCAAAAACAACAUGAGAUUCACAGGUAGGGAGUAAUUGAAGGUUUAAAAUUCGAAGUACUAUGAUUUGAAUAGUGAAUUUUUGCAAACGAUGUUGUUUGAUUGUUUUGAUGAUUCCAUGUUGUAGAGCAUCUUCUGCCAUUCGUUUUCAUAUAUCAUAUGUUAGAUUUUGAGUCCAGUAACAUGCUCAAAUAUGUGUUUGAUUCUUCGAAAUUGUAAACUAGGGUUCUUGAGCGAGUUUGAAUGUUUCAAAUUGGGUUUGGGGGUUUCUUAUCCUGUAAAUCUGGGCUGUUUUUGUUGGAAUCAUCGUGUAGAGCUUGAAGAGGGGAAUCGUUUGAUGAUAAGAAGGUGUGUGGAGGAAGCCAGGAGCGUCCCCGCCGGAGCUGCGAAGCUAGCCGGCGGUGAGCCCUGUUCUUCAUCGUUUUCCGGCCAUAAUCGGCCGCCUUUAAUGAUUUUGAGUGUAUAUAUGUGAUGCUAGGAGUGUGUGUAACUGGUCUGGAGGUUCUGGGGUCGAACGGCGGUCUGCAACGCCGUUUCCGGCGAGUCGGGGCGCCGGCGGUAUCAAAUUACCGUUUGGUACCCUGGCUUUUGGAAACAGUGAAGUUUUAGUAUUCUCGUUUCUGUUUUAGCAAGACAGACCCUAAACUUUUCAGAGUUUACACUUUAAACCCUGGACAAAACUUUCAAAAGUUUACACUUUAAACCUUUUGAAUUUAAUUGUCAAAAAUUGUUUUAUUUAAUUAUUUUAAAUUCCAAAAAUAGUUUUUAAUUAUUUAUUUAUUCAAAAAUAAAUCUAAAUUAGUUUAUUAAUUACUUUUAAUUAGUAAUUAAUUAUUUUAAUUGGUCAAUUAAUUUAAAUAUUAAUUGAUUAAUUAUUUUAAUUAAUUAUUAAUUGAUUUUAAUUGAUUAAUUAAUUGGAUUUAAUUAUUCUUUUUGAUUUAAAAAUUCUGAAAAAUAGUUUCGAGCUUUGAAAUAUUUUUCUAAAUUAUGUUCAAGGCUCGACAAUUGUUUAUGAAUGAUUUCAAGUCCAAUUUCAAGUAUUUGGGACUUGAUUAUUUAUCCGAAAAGUGAUUCUUUUAUCGAUUUUAAUUCCGAAAAAUGUUUAAAAAUUCCAGAAAAUUCCCGAAAAAUCAUUUUUAACCCAAGACUUGAUUUAAUAUCAAUUGGGAUGGGAAACCUUAUGUGUUGUGUGUUGUCUGCUAUUGGUUGGAUGUGUUAUGUGCCGAUAGGAGAGUGAGAAAACUGUUUUGAGCAUAACUUUUGAUCCGUAAGUCGGAAUCAAGUGAAACGAAAGAGAGACAGAAGCUUAUAACGUCUAUUUUAAUAUGAUGUGACUAUAUGGCUGAGUCUAUAAGGUGAAUAAUUGUUGAUAAGUAUGCAUAAUGUGAUAAUAUGUGAUCUAAGUGCUAUCAAGUGAUGAUUAUGUGAAGUACGUGUUAGUUUUGAUAUUGUGAAGUGAUAAAUGAUUCGUAUGAUUGAUAUUGGAUAAGAAUAUAUGGAUUAUAGUUAUUGGAUUUUGUUGGUUGAUUAAUGAUUGAGAUAGGAUAAUAGGUGGAUAGUCUUAUACAUAGACGAGACGAUGUCGGAUUUUCGAUAAGGAUUUAUAUGAUAAUUGAUUGGUGAUAUGUUAUGUGGAAUAUGAUUGACUAUAUGUUAGAGUCAAAGCAUGCUUAUGUGUUACGUGGUAUCUGAUAAGUUUAAAGGGAUAUAUAAGUGGGUAUCGGUAUACGUGAUAUGUAUAUGCGAUAUAUUGUUUAGUGACUAUAGUAUUAUCUUAUUCUCGUAAAGGAUUUGGACGAGACGUGUACGCUCGAAGACGUCAGGAAGUCGAAAUGGUAUUGCAAAGCGAAUAAGGGAUGAAUCGAGUAAGCGAAGCGAUGUGGCGAAUAGAGUAUAGCUAGAGAUGGUCUAGAGAUUACGAGAUGCAUAGAUUGUGAAAGUUGAAAGAUGAGAUUGAGCUGUGAAACUGGAGUCAGAUUUAAGGCAAGUAUCCUAAACCCUUCUCUUGGAUAUAUUGCAAAUAUUCUGAUCCAUUCCUUUGGUAUAUGUUUCAAGUAUUCAUACCUUUCUUUUCAAUGUUCGAAAGUGCGAGUAUUCUGACCCAUUCUUUCUAAUCUUCAAGUUUCUAAAGAAUUUCCGUUUUACAAAUUAAUUCGAAGUUCAGAUUGUCAUUGAAGCAUGUGUUGCUCAGUGAUAGUUAGAGCUUUGAAUGAAUUGGGAUCUUCUUGAUUAUUCAACCCGCCAUUGUCAUGCUGGUUUAGCAGGCUAAAUUCAGUUGCUUAGCCGAUAAUGGAGGAUACUGAAUAGUUGAGGAUUUCCUGAACUGUGAUUUAUGAAAUGAUGGAUCAUGAUUUAUGAAUAGAUUAUUAUCAAAGUUUGAAUUGGAAUUAUUCUGUUGUUGAUGAUAUUUAUGAUGAUGUUCUGUUAAUUUACAUUGGCUUCUUGAAUUGAAUUAGAGAAUUGGAUUAUUGUUUUUAUAUAAACCUGUGGACCAGAUUCGUGGUCAUGUUAGGCCAAUGAGUGCCUUGGAUCCAGUGAUAGAGCAUGGCGGGGCCUGCUCGGGGUUAGUGCGGAACUGAUCAGCUGCCUAACCUUGGUUUUAAUUAAAAUGUGAUAGUCCAAUUCAAUAAUUCUUUGGAAAGAUUGAAUUUCUCAGUUUAAAUGCUGCAAGGUAUUGUAAAUCAUUCUAUACAAUACCAUGAACUCAUGAACUCAGGUUGAAUCCUCUUAUAUCUUGAACUCGUGAACUUCUGUUAUAUCAUUUCAGAACUAUCAUUGUUUAUUAUUACUUGCUGAGCAUUGUUGCUCACCCUUGCUAUUCCUUUCUAACCAUUUCAGAAAGGCUUAAAGAUGAGAUGAUUGAUUGAGAUUGUGAGUAAGGCCAAUGCUAGGCGAGGAGACAGAGUUGAGGAUCCAGUGGUCGAAGAGUGUUCAGGAAAGUUGAUGAGGCUGGUGCAAGCUGGAAUAGUUGACAGUGAUUCUUCUUAUCGAAGAUGAUCUGAUUUGGUAAGAGAUGUUGUGUAAUAAUAGUGGUAGAUUCUAAUUUCAAUACUGUAACCUGGAUGCGAUCCUGUUGUUUUGGGGGGUUU